This 492-nucleotide ribosomal RNA is filed under the name uncultured bacterium. RNAcentral's name for it is "partial 16S ribosomal RNA". It matches the Rfam family "Bacterial small subunit ribosomal RNA", at positions 28 to 507 of the family's 1533-position model. The record is from RNAcentral.
GAUUAACGCUAGCUACAGGCUUAACACAUGCAAGUCGAGGGGAAACGACAUCGAAAGCUUGCUUUUGAUGGGCGUCGACCGGCGCACGGGUGAGUAACGCGUAUCCAACCUGCCCAUCACUUGGGAAUAACCUUGCGAAAGUAAGACUAAUACCCAAUGACAUCCCACGAAGACAUCUGAAUGGGAUUAAAGAUUUAUCGGUGAUGGAUGGGGAUGCGUCUGAUUAGCUUGUUGGCGGGGUAACGGCCCACCAAGGCAACGAUCAGUAGGGGUUCUGAGAGGAAGGUCCCCCACAUUGGAACUGGGACACGGGCCAAACUCCUACGGGAGGCAGCAGUGAGGAAUAUUGGUCAAUGGGCGAGAGCCUGAACCAGCCAAGUAGCGUGCAGGAUGACGGCCCUAUGGGUUGUAAACUGCUUUUAUAAGGGAAUAAAGUGGGUCUCGUGAGACUUUUUGCAUGUACCUUAUGAAUAAGGACCGGCUAAUUCCGUG